AAGACUAUAGACCUGCGGAGUACCUGCGGAAGGAUCAUUAACGUUGGGGACUAACAAUCCCUCAGCGAGAUAGAACCCUUGCCUUUUCGAGUACCACACGUUUCCUCGGCAGGUACGCCUGCCAAUGGGGACCACAACAAAACCUUUUGUAAUAGCAGUAAACGUCUUAAAAACAAAACUUUUAAAACUUUCAACAACGGAUCUCU
RNAcentral lists this unclassified non-coding RNA (206 nucleotides) under soil metagenome. Its description in RNAcentral is "partial contains 5.8S ribosomal RNA, internal transcribed spacer 2, and large subunit ribosomal RNA". The record is from RNAcentral.